UCAUGUGUCGUGUGUUACUGAGCUGAAGUGCUCUGGAAAUCAUGAUGCCGUGUCAUCGAGCUCUUUUACAGCAUCUUUACUCAAAGCUGUAUGAGGUCCAGAUUGCUGCCCUUGACAUCCAGCAUUUAUAAAGGGCUUUGCCGUACUCUACAAGCAAGACGUUUAUGUUUUUAUCUAAGAAAUAACAGUUAUUCAUCGUUCAGGGCAGCUGCGCAAGCUUUACAUCACAACAACACAAACGUGAAGCGUCUUCAGAGUCCGUUCUCCUGGCUCUCCCUCAUGUCGUGUUUCGGGUCAUUUUGACCUGGAAAGGAUGAAAUGCUAGUCCUCAGGGUUGGAGGACUUCGACUUCGAGAGGCAACACUCUCCCUCUACUGCUGCAGGUGCGAGGAGAUGACGGCUGCCUUGUGGCACUGCCCCCUGCCCUCUGCCCGUGCCCUCUCCCCACUGCCAGUCUUAUAUAGACACCCGUCUCAAAUACAAGCUGGAGCAGUUUGACGAUUUGGGAGAAUAAAAGUCUGGGCUAAGAUUGAUGCAAAGUCUUUCA
Molecule: non-coding RNA, 547 nt
Organism: Pimephales promelas (fathead minnow)
Lineage: Eukaryota; Metazoa; Chordata; Actinopteri; Cypriniformes; Leuciscidae
Source: RefSeq, a predicted model, not a curated record